RNAcentral lists this ribosomal RNA (406 nucleotides) under uncultured bacterium. RNAcentral's name for it is "partial 16S ribosomal RNA". It matches the Rfam family "Bacterial small subunit ribosomal RNA", at positions 30 to 526 of the family's 1533-position model. The record is from RNAcentral.
AUUGAACGCUGGCGGCAGGCCUAACACAUGCAAGUCGAACGAGUGGCGGACGGGUGAGUAAUGUCUGGGAAACUGCCUGAUGGAGGGGGAUCACUACUGGAAACGGUAGCUAAUACCGCAUACCAUCAGAUGCGCCCAGAUGGGAUUAGCUUGGUGGUGGGGUAACGGCUCACCAAGGCGACGAUCCCUAGCUGGUCUGAGAGGAUGACCAGCCACACUGGAACUGAGACACGGCCCAGACGCCUACGGGAGGCAGCAGUAGGGAAUCUUCGGCAAUGGGCGAAAGUCUGAUCGAGCAACGCCGCGUGAGUGAAGAAGGUCUUCGGAUCGUAAAGCUCUGUUAUUAGAGAAGCGGUAUCUAACCAGAAAGCCACGGCUAACUACGUGCCAGCAGCCGCGGUAAUAC